This is a long non-coding RNA of Zalophus californianus (California sea lion), 1025 nucleotides long. RefSeq lists it as uncharacterized. NCBI's taxonomy places the organism in Eukaryota, Metazoa, Chordata, Mammalia, Carnivora, Otariidae. The record is from RefSeq and is a predicted model, not a curated record. The transcript is spliced from 5 exons.
CCCGGACUUGCAAGGAGGGCGGUGAGCUACCAUCCUCACUCACGUCUUCACUGGAGACUUCAUUUUACCGAUGAUACUGUUCACACUGCAGCUUCUGCUCUCGGGGCUGACCAGUUGGGCACCUGCAACCCUUCAGGGACUCCAGCCAGACGCCUGGGGUCCCCCAUGACUCCUCCUGCCCCCCUCAUCCCCUGCAUCCGACCCACCGGUCCCCAGGCCUGACGGCUUUCCAGAAGUACAAACCAGAGCAAAGCCCCCCAGGACUUCUGGAGAGGACCUGCAGCUGAAGAAGCCCCUCCACUGAAAGCCACCUCCUCUUCCUCCUGGCAGGUGGCCUGAAAGAGGGCAGAGCUCUCCUAACAUGUGAGGGUAAGGGGGCCCUCUCCUUCUUCAGCCCUGGAUGUUAAGAGAUCUGCCCCAGGAACUGCUCCAAUGACAUCAUCAGGGAUAGGGAGCUGAGUAGAUUCAAGGAUGUUCCCUGGAGUGUUCCCUAUAAUAGGGAAGACAAGAGGAGAGGAGGGGCCCACUGGGAUCUCAGGCCUUUCCAGCUGUGACGUCUGCCGCGGGUCUGACUCCGGGGCUUUUUGACCUGGUCGCUGUGCCCCCAGCAGCGAAUGCUACCACAGCUCAAGGCACUGCCAAAGGACAGCCAGGUCAGACCUCCGUGGGGCUCCGCCAGACCAGCCCGGGAAUGUGGUUUGCCCCCAAGUCGUCCGGUCAACAACUACUGUUAAGAAACCACUGUGUGCAGGCCCUGGGCUGGGCACCGUGCCUGGUUCUGGGGACAAUCAGUUGAAUAAGACACGGGCCCCUAUCCUUAUCACAUCUACCAUCUUGUGGCAACAAUUAGAAGCCACUCGUUCUAGGACCUCAAUCAGGAAUUGCUCCUUAUUGCUGCUUUUCGGAACUGGCAUCUGCACAUCUCCAGCUGAUCAGUCAACAAACACUUAUUGAACACCUACUAGACACCAGGCUCUGUUUUAGGUGCUUGGGUCACAUCAGCGAACAAACAGUAGAAGUGUAAA